Molecule: non-coding RNA, 591 nt
Organism: Schizosaccharomyces pombe (fission yeast)
Lineage: Eukaryota; Fungi; Ascomycota; Schizosaccharomycetes; Schizosaccharomycetales; Schizosaccharomycetaceae
Source: the annotation of a GenBank genome assembly
AUGUAAUUCAAGGGAUUUGGAAACGGAGUAUAUACCACACUCAAUGAGGGCUGUUGAGGUAUUAAUUUGCGAUGUUCACUGGAUUGCUAUAAGGAGCUUAACAGAGUAACGCAAGAUUGGUAUUACGAAUUGUAUAAACACUAUAUUAUAUAACAUCUAGUUUAUUUUAUGAGAGCAAAAUAAACAAUAGUAUAAACCAGAUAAAAUAAAGCGCUCGUUUAAUUAGGCGCUUGAUGAAAGGUUUUUUAAAGAGGUGGGGAGAAUGAUAAAAAACUUGAACAGUAUUAAAUGAGAAUAAUCAUGGGUAAAGCAAAUGGAACAGCAAUUAGCAGAAUGAAUAAUUUCAAUUUGGUGAAGGAUCGAAUGGUUUUAGCCUCUGAUUUAGCAGUUAACGUAUUCCAAAAUUGUUGACCUCCAGGAUGUUCACGUAUAUCGUAUCCCAAUGGAGCUAACAAGGUAGGCAAAACAUAAUGAGUAGUAACUGUAAUACUUGGAACAAAUGUUAUUUCUGGAAGAAGAGUCGCUGUAAACUGGGGUAAUGAAGUUUCGAUUUUGCUGGUAGGAUAUAAAACCUUUAAUGAACGUUAGUAG